AUCUAUAGCCAUACCACCCUGAACACACUAAAUCUGGUCUGAUCACAGAAGCUAAGUAGGGUCAGGCCUGGUUAGUACCUGGAUAGGAGAAACCUACACAUUUAUAUCUACAAUCACCAUUUUGCCAUAGAUU
RNAcentral lists this ribosomal RNA (133 nucleotides) under Jaculus jaculus (lesser Egyptian jerboa). Lineage: Eukaryota; Metazoa; Chordata; Mammalia; Rodentia; Dipodidae. The record is from RNAcentral.